UGACUGUGUCUGCAGAUAUGAACCGGCUAGCUGAGAGCUUCUUAUCAAGUUAAAGUCAUCAGUAUAUCGUCAUUUUAAUUUUGUGCUAAGAAAUCAACAGGCAACUGUUGUGCAGAACAACAAAAAACCUGUGACAUGACCUUUAAGAUUGAUGUGCCAAUUCACCUUGACGUGGUUGGAUCCAUGGAGAGCCUGGCAUGAGUUCAAUACUUUCAAUACGAAGGCAAAAUAAAUGGAAGAAAAAACAACAACAGUCCAGUAGUCCUUGCUUCC
RNAcentral lists this unclassified non-coding RNA (273 nucleotides) under Hevea brasiliensis (rubber tree). Lineage: Eukaryota; Viridiplantae; Streptophyta; Magnoliopsida; Malpighiales; Euphorbiaceae. The record is from RNAcentral.